This 356-nucleotide ribosomal RNA is filed under the name uncultured Geobacillus sp. RNAcentral's name for it is "bacterial SSU rRNA". It matches the Rfam family "Bacterial small subunit ribosomal RNA", at positions 1025 to 1382 of the family's 1533-position model. Lineage: Bacteria; Bacillati; Bacillota; Bacilli; Caryophanales; Anoxybacillaceae. The record is from RNAcentral.
ACGAGGGUGACAGGUGGUGCAUGGUUGUCGUCAGCUCGUGUCGUGAGAUGUUGGGUUAAGUCCCGCAACGAGCGCAACCCUCGCCUCUAGUUGCCAGCAUUCGGUUGGGCACUCUAGAGGGACUGCCGGCGACAAGUCGGAGGAAGGUGGGGAUGACGUCAAAUCAUCAUGCCCCUUAUGACCUGGGCUACACACGUGCUACAAUGGGCGGUACAAAGGGCUGCGAACCCGCGAGGGGGAGCGAAUCCCAAAAAGCCGCUCUCAGUUCGGAUUGCAGGCUGCAACUCGCCUGCAUGAAGCCGGAAUCGCUAGUAAUCGCGGAUCAGCAUGCCGCGGUGAAUACGUUCCCGGGCCUU